GAAACAACAGGGAUUGCCUCAGUAACGGCGAGUGAAGCGGCAAAAGCUCAAAUUUGAAAUCUAGCACCUUCGGUGUUCGAGUUGUAAUUUGAAGAUGGUAACCUUGGGUUUGGCUCUUGUCUAUGUUCCUUGGAACAGGACGUCAUAGAGGGUGAGAAUCCCGUCUGAUGAGAUGCCCAUUCCUAUGUAAGGUGCUAUCGAAGAGUCGAGUUGUUUGGGAAUGCAGCUCUAAGUGGGUGGUAAAUUCCAUCUAAAGCUAAAUAUUGGCGAGAGACCGAUAGCGAACAAGUACAGUGAUGGAAAGAUGAAAAGAACUUUGAAAAGAGAGUGAAAAAGUACGUGAAAUUGUUGAAAGGGAAGGGCAUUAGAUCAGACUUGGUGUUUUACGAUUAUCUUCUCUUCUUGAGUUGUGCACUCGUAUUUCACUGGGCCAGCAUCGAUUCGGAUGGCAAGAUAAUGGCAGUUGAAUGUGGCUUCACUUCGGUGGAGUGUUAUAGCUUCUGCUGAUAUUGC
Molecule: ribosomal RNA, 513 nt
Filed under: Hansenula anomala
Lineage: Eukaryota; Fungi; Ascomycota; Saccharomycetes; Phaffomycetales; Wickerhamomycetaceae
Description: eukaryotic LSU rRNA
Rfam family: Eukaryotic large subunit ribosomal RNA
Source: RNAcentral